CCUACGGGGGGCAGCAGUGAGGAAUAUUGGUCAAUGGUCGGGAGACUGAACCAGCCAAGCCGCGUGAGGGAGGAAGGUACAGAGUAUCGUAAACCUCUUUUGUCAGGGAACAAAGGCGGGGACGUGUCCCCGGAUGAGUGUACCUGAAGAAAAAGCAUCGGCUAACUCCGUGCCAGCAGCCGCGGUAAUACGGAGGAUGCGAGCGUUAUCCGGAUUUAUUGGGUUUAAAGGGUGCGCAGGCGGUCUGUUAAGUCAGCGGUCAAAGCCCGGGGCUCAACCCCGGCCCGCCGUUGAAACUGGUUUUCUUGAGUGAGUGAGAAGUAUGCGGAAUGCGUGGUGUAGCGGUGAAAUGCAUAGAUAUCACGCAGAACUCCGAUUGCGAAGGCAGCAUACCGGCGCUCAACUGACGCUCAUGCACGAAAGUGUGGGUAUCGAACAGGAUUAGAUACCCGAGUAGUC
Molecule: ribosomal RNA, 459 nt
Filed under: uncultured bacterium
Lineage: Bacteria
Description: partial 16S ribosomal RNA
Rfam family: Bacterial small subunit ribosomal RNA
Source: RNAcentral